GAUGAACGCUGGCGGCGUGCCUAAUACAUGCAAGUCGGGCGAACAGAUGAGGAGCUUGCUCCUCUGACGUUAGCGGCGGACGGGUGAGUAACACGUGGAUAACCUACCUAUAAGACUGGGAUAACUACGGGAAACCGGAGCUAAUACCGGAUAAUAUAUUGAACCGCAUGGUUCAAUAGUGAAAGACGGUUUUGCUGUCACUUAUAGAUGGAUCCGCGCCGCAUUAGCUAGUUGGUAAGGUAACGGCUUACCAAGGCAACGAUGCGUAGCCGACCUGAGAGGGUGAUCGGCCACACGGGAACUGAGACACGGUCCAGACUCCUACGGGAGGCAGCAGUAGGGAAUCUUCCGCAAUGGGCGAAAGCCUGACGGAGCAACGCCGCGUGAGUGAUGAAGGUCUUCGGAUCGUAAAACUCUGUUAUUAGGGAAGAACAAAUGUGUAAGUAACUAUGCACGUCUUGACGGUACCUAAUCAGAAAGCCACGGCUAACUACGUG
Molecule: ribosomal RNA, 497 nt
Filed under: uncultured bacterium
Lineage: Bacteria
Description: partial 16S ribosomal RNA
Rfam family: Bacterial small subunit ribosomal RNA
Source: RNAcentral